Long non-coding RNA from Pollicipes pollicipes, 198 nucleotides. RefSeq lists it as uncharacterized. Lineage: Eukaryota; Metazoa; Arthropoda; Thecostraca; Pollicipedomorpha; Pollicipedidae. The record is from RefSeq and is a predicted model, not a curated record. The transcript is spliced from 3 exons.
CCAGAGCCGUGAUAUGUCUGUCCGUUUCUUGAAAAGCUUUCUGCAGAAAGGGUCCUGAUCAGAAAUGGUCAAUGUUCUCAAGGGAAUGCUGAUUGAGUGUUUCUUCUGCAUCUGGAUGAGACCAGUGCUUUAGGAAGGCGCUUCAUCCUCCAGGAUCUGGAUGACAUGCACCUGUUCAUUUCCAGCGAUAUUUACGAC